RNAcentral lists this ribosomal RNA (253 nucleotides) under uncultured bacterium. RNAcentral's name for it is "partial 16S ribosomal RNA". It matches the Rfam family "Bacterial small subunit ribosomal RNA", at positions 524 to 776 of the family's 1533-position model. The record is from RNAcentral.
UACAUGGGGUGCAAACGUUGCUCGGAAUUAUUGGGCGUAAAGCGCACGUAGGCGGUUUGUUAAGUCGGAUGUGAAAUCCCUCGGCUCAACUGAGGAAGUGCAUCCGAAACUGGCAGGCUUGAGUACUAAAGAGGGUCGCGGAAUUCCCGGUGUAGAGGUGAAAUUCGUAGAUAUCGGGAGGAACACCGGUGGCGAAGGCGGGUCUCUGGGCCGAUACUGACGCUGAGGAGCGAAAGCGUGGGGAGCGAACAGG